UGAGUGAAGAAGGCCUUCGGGUUGUAAAGCUCUUUUGUCAGGGAAGAAACGGCUCCGGCUAAUAUCUGGGGCUAAUGACGGUACCUGAAGAACAAGCACCGGCUAACUACGUGCCAGCAGCCGCGGUAAUACGUAGGGUGCAAGCGUUAAUCGGAAUUACUGGGCGUAAAGCGUGCGCAGGCGGUUUUGUAAGUCUGACGUGAAAGCCCCGGGCUUAACCUGGGAAUUGCGUUGGAGACUGCAAGGCUUGAAUCUGGCAGAGGGGGGUAGAAUUCCACGUGUAGCAGUGAAAUGCGUAGAGAUGUGGAGGAACACCGAUGGCGAAGGCAGCCCCCUGGGUCAAGAUUGACGCUCAUGCACGAAAGCGUGGGGAGCAAACAGGAUUAGAUACCCUGGUAGUCCACGCCCUAAACGA
This 415-nucleotide ribosomal RNA is filed under the name uncultured bacterium. RNAcentral describes it as "bacterial SSU rRNA". It matches the Rfam family "Bacterial small subunit ribosomal RNA", at positions 402 to 809 of the family's 1533-position model. The record is from RNAcentral.